Molecule: transfer RNA, 85 nt
Filed under: Felis catus (domestic cat)
Lineage: Eukaryota; Metazoa; Chordata; Mammalia; Carnivora; Felidae
Rfam family: tRNA
About the family: Transfer RNA (tRNA) molecules are approximately 80 nucleotides in length.
Source: Rfam by way of RNAcentral
GCCUGGGUGGCUCAGUCGGUUAAGCGUCUGACUUCGGCUCAGGUCAUGAUCUCGCGGUCCGUGAGUUCAAGCCCCACAUUGGGCU